Molecule: ribosomal RNA, 500 nt
Filed under: uncultured bacterium
Lineage: Bacteria
Description: bacterial SSU rRNA
Rfam family: Bacterial small subunit ribosomal RNA
Source: RNAcentral
UCAGGAUGAGCGCUAGCUACAGGCUAACACAUGCAAGUCGAGGGCAGCAUGGGAUAGCUGCUAUUCAGAUGGCGACCGGCGCACGGGUGAGUAACGCGUAUCCAACCUUCCUGCCAGUAGGGAACAGCCCGGCGAAAGUCGGAUUAAUGCCCUAUGUUCUUCAAUGCGGACAUCUAAGUGAAGGAAAGAUUCAUCGCUGGCAGAUGGGGAUGCGUCCGAUUAGCUUGCCGGCGGGGUAACGGCCCACCGGGGCGACGAUCGGUAGGGGUUCUGAGAGGAAGGUCCCCCACACUGGUACUGAGACACGGACCAGACUCCUACGGGAGGCAGCAGUGAGGAAUAUUGGUCAAUGGGCGUAAGCCUGAACCAGCCAAGUAGCGUGCAAGGAUGACGGCCCUACGGGUUGUAAACUGCUUUUAUGCGGGGAUAAAGUGCGGCACGUGUGCCGCUUUGCAGGUACCGCAUGAAUAAGGACCGGCUAAUUCCGUGCCAGCCGCCGC